AGAAGCAGGACCCCGGUGAAGAGCUCUGGUCCCAGCCGUUGGCCAACUGGCGAGACCAGCAGGGUCCCAGAGGGAAUGUGGGCUACAAGGUUGGGGAGUGGUUCCAAGGCCUUCAGAAGGAACAUUGAGGCAGCACCCACUAAAGCCAACCCCAGAAACACUCCCUCUGUGAAUAGUAGCAUGGACUUCUUGGGGUCUAAGCCGAAUUUCCAGGUCAUUGUCGACCUGUGGAUUUGUUCCCCUGCCUGGACAGGAAAAGGCCUUUGCACCUCCUGCUCUGCUCCCAACACAGCUUCUGCUCCAGCAAAGCCCACAGGCACUCAGUCCUUGAUUCCUGCACCCAUCAACCCCGCCAAGCCGCCCUCACUGUCACCAAGGCUUCCUUUGUGCCUUAGCAACAGAACCCCGGUUUUGUUCAAGGUAUCCAUGUACCCAGCCUCACCAGCAGCUGGGGCCAGCUGUGAGACUGUUUGCCCAGGGGAUGACUGCAGGAGGCACAAUCGAGCCUCCUGGUCCUUUGGAAGGAGCAGCUGUGGCCGCCCACCUCACUGACAAGAGUCUUCCUUUCUCCUUGCUCCAGCCUGAAGUAUGGGCACAGCAUCCUGAGGACAGCAGCCAUGUGGCCAGCAAGGGGCAGGGUCCCAAGCUGAGGAUGGGAGCAGCUGCCUUGGUGCCCCGAUGGCCACCAUCAGACUCAUCGCCAUCGGGAGAACCAGCCCCUGCUCCCUUUAUGGGGCUGCCUCAUUGGAUUUCGUUAGGUUUUCUGUAACUCAAGCCAGUGCCACUUCUGUUGUGGCUGAUUUGGGCUCCUAAGCUCACGGGGUGGGACCUCGUUCUAUUAGCUGUGUCCUGCCCCCCAACAAUGAUGGCUCCUUGCGGGCAGGCCCCAAGGGCGCGUUGUGGCCCCACACACAGCAAGUGCCUCACACCUGAAACAGCCUGGAGGAGCUUGUGAAGAGUGAGGGCGCGGGAGCCACACUCCCAGGUGCCUAUUUUCCACAUGUCCCCAUGCAGCCCAGGCUUCCAACCACAUCUUAAAAAAUAAAAAGAUGGGGAGGAGAGGAAAGUUUGGUCCU
Molecule: long non-coding RNA, 1076 nt
Filed under: Piliocolobus tephrosceles (Ugandan red Colobus)
Lineage: Eukaryota; Metazoa; Chordata; Mammalia; Primates; Cercopithecidae
Description: lncRNA (ENSPTEG00000026258.1)
Source: RNAcentral